UGUGUAUUUGCAGGAUCUCCUCCAUCAGGUGCAUGUACCUCUCUGUCUUUCGAUCUGAACUUGGUGUUUAUUAGGGAUACCUUCUCACCCCGUCUAUUUUCUUUUGGUCAGUUGCCAAGAUUAGAACAUCGAACAAGCUUUGACGAUACAGGCAUCAUAAAUGUCUAGCGUGAUCUAUGCCACAUCAUCCACCGUGAGUGCUGUCAUGUGAAAGGACAUUUCUUUGACCCCGUGGGUUCCCUAGCGACAAGUGAGAAAUUCAAGAAUCUUCAGGAGUGAAACAAUGCUAUGCUAUAAUGUUACUA
Long non-coding RNA from Oryza brachyantha (malo sina), 305 nucleotides. RefSeq lists it as uncharacterized. NCBI's taxonomy places the organism in Eukaryota, Viridiplantae, Streptophyta, Magnoliopsida, Poales, Poaceae. The record is from RefSeq and is a predicted model, not a curated record. The transcript is spliced from 3 exons.